GAUGAACGCUGGCGGCGUGCCUAAUACAUGCAAGUCGAGCGAACAGACGAGGAGCUUGCUCCUCUGACGUUAGCGGCGGACGGGUGAGUAACACGUGGAUAACCUACCUAUAAGACUGGGAUAACUUCGGGAAACCGGAGCUAAUACCGGAUAAUAUAUUGAACCGCAUGGUUCAAUAGUGAAAGACGGUUUUGCUGUCACUUAUAGAUGGAUCCGCGCCGCAUUAGCUAGUUGGUAAGGUAACGGCUUACCAAGGCAACGAUGCGUAGCCGACCUGAGAGGGUGAGCGGCCACACUUGAACUGAGACACGGUCCAGACUCCUACGGUAGGCAGCAGUAGGGAAUCUUCCGCAAGGGGCGAAAGCCUGACGGAGCAACGCCGCGUGAGUGAUGAAGGUCUUCGGAUCGUAAAACUCUGUUAUUAGGGAAGAACAAAUGUGUAAGUAACUAUGCACGUCUUGACGGUACCUAAUCAGAAAGCCACGGCUAACUACGUG
Molecule: ribosomal RNA, 497 nt
Filed under: uncultured bacterium
Lineage: Bacteria
Description: partial 16S ribosomal RNA
Rfam family: Bacterial small subunit ribosomal RNA
Source: RNAcentral